Molecule: transfer RNA, 66 nt
Filed under: Hirundo smithii
Lineage: Eukaryota; Metazoa; Chordata; Aves; Passeriformes; Hirundinidae
Description: tRNA-Cys
Source: RNAcentral
GGCCCUGUGGUGAAAUUCAUGGUGAGUUGCAAGCUCAUUGAUGUACGUUGAUGCGUACCGGGGUCU